GUGGGGAAUAUUUGACAAUGGGCGCAAGCCUGAUCCAGCAAUGCCGCGUGCAGGAAGAAGGCCUUCGGGUUGUAAAGCACUUUUGGCAGGAAAGAAAUAGUGCGUGCUAAUACCAUGCGCGAAUGACGGUACCUGCAAAAUAAGCACCGGCUAACUACGUGCCAGCAGCCGCGGUAAGACGUAGGGUGCAAGCGUUAAUCGGAAUUACUGGGCGUAAAGCGUGCGCAGGCGGUUUUGUAAGACAGGUGUGAAAUCCCCGGGCUCAACCUGGGAACUGCACUUGUGACUGCAAGGCUAGAGUGUGUCAGAGGGAGGUGGAAUUCCGCGUGUAGCAGUGAAAUGCGUAGAGAUGCGGAGGAACACCGAUGGCGAAGGCAGCCUCCUGGGAUAACACUGACGCUCAGGCACGAAAGCGUGGGGAGCAAACAGGAUUAGAUACCCUAGUAGUCC
Molecule: ribosomal RNA, 450 nt
Filed under: uncultured bacterium
Lineage: Bacteria
Description: partial 16S ribosomal RNA
Rfam family: Bacterial small subunit ribosomal RNA
Source: RNAcentral